CAGAGAUUUUCUGAGGAAGAAGCUGCAUUUCUUCGUUCUCUUGGGUGGGAAGAAAAUUCUGGGGAGGACGAGGGCCUUACAGAAGAUGAGAUUAAUGCUUUCUAUCAGCAGUGCAUGAAAUUGAGGCCGACCUUGAAACUCUGUCCAGGCAUGCAGCAAAAGCUGCUUGAAUCUCAUGCAGCUGGUACGGGUGGAGCUUCCUCUGAACUGAGCUCUUCUGACUCUGGAUUGGAAACUUGAUGCUGUUCCCUUGAAUUAGAUCCGAGAAAUACCAAUUUUUGAUGGCAGAUGGUUAAUUUCCUUUUUUCUUUUUUCCCUCUUUUUUCCCUUCCUCUUCUUUUGAAGAAAGCUGAUGAGUUGAAUGUGAAAGGAAGGGUGGAUAUUUGGUGAAACUCUGCAUUUUGCAAAUAGUGCAAUAAGUCACAGGUGCCUCAAUCCUGCCUUCCCAAUAGAGGGGAAUUUUACAAGGUGUCAGGUUGGUUUUAGGAGAGGGUAGGAUACUAUAUUGUCUGCAAUGGAAGAUGUUAGGGAAAUUACAUCUUUUGGGGGUAUUUUUUUCUCUUCUUUUUCUUUUCAAGAGGGCUUGAUUCUGCAAGGUAAAAAAAAAAAAAAGGCUUUAUGGUGUUUUUGUCAAUUUAACG
This 641-nucleotide unclassified non-coding RNA is filed under the name Hevea brasiliensis (rubber tree). Lineage: Eukaryota; Viridiplantae; Streptophyta; Magnoliopsida; Malpighiales; Euphorbiaceae. The record is from RNAcentral.